UAUAUUUUAGUGUAAGAUGCACAAUAGUUUUUGAAACUUUAAGAUAUAGUUUAAUUCUAUAAUAUAUAU
This 69-nucleotide transfer RNA is filed under the name Issikiopteryx taipingensis. Its description in RNAcentral is "tRNA-Gln". It matches the Rfam family "tRNA". From Rfam's summary of the family: Transfer RNA (tRNA) molecules are approximately 80 nucleotides in length. Their secondary structure includes four short double-helical elements and three loops (D, anti-codon, and T loops). Lineage: Eukaryota; Metazoa; Arthropoda; Insecta; Lepidoptera; Lecithoceridae. The record is from RNAcentral.